Molecule: ribosomal RNA, 253 nt
Filed under: uncultured bacterium
Lineage: Bacteria
Description: partial 16S ribosomal RNA
Rfam family: Bacterial small subunit ribosomal RNA
Source: RNAcentral
UACGAAGGGAGCUAGCGUUGUUCGGAAUUACUGGGCGUAAAGGGCGCGUAGGCGGUAAGAUAAGUCAGAUGUGAAAGCCUUGGGCUUAACCUGAGAACUGCAUUUGAUACUGUCUAACUAGAGGACGAGAGAGGAAAGUGGAAUUACGAGUGUAGAGGUGAAAUUCGUAGAUAUUCGUAAGAACACCAGUGGCGAAGGCGACUUUCUGGCUCGUUUCUGACGCUAAGGCGCGAAAGCAUGGGGAGCAAACAGG